RNAcentral lists this ribosomal RNA (468 nucleotides) under uncultured bacterium. Its description in RNAcentral is "partial 16S ribosomal RNA". It matches the Rfam family "Bacterial small subunit ribosomal RNA", at positions 28 to 507 of the family's 1533-position model. The record is from RNAcentral.
GACGAACGCUGGCGGCGUGCUUAACACAUGCAAGUCGAACGGAAAGGCGCUGCUUUUGUGGGGUGCUCGAGUGGCGAACGGGUGAGUAGCACGUGAGUAACCUGCCCUUGACUUUGGGAUAACUUCAGGAAACUGCGGCUAAUACCGGAUAGGAGCUCCUGCUGCAUGGUGGGGGUUGGAAAGUUUCGGCGGUUGGGGAUGGACUCGCGGCUUAUCAGCUUGUUGGUGGGGUAGUGGCUUACCAAGGCUUUGACGGGUAGCCGGCCUGAGAGGGUGACCGGCCACCUUGGGACUGAGAGACGGCGCAGACGCCUACGGGAGGCAGCAGGCGGGAAUAUUGCACAAUGGGCGGAAGCCUGAUGCAGCAACGCCGCGUGCGGGAUGACGGCCUUCGGGUUGUAAACCGCUUUCGCCUGUGACGAAGCGUGAGUGACGGUAAUGGGUAAAGAAGCACCGGCUAACUACGUG